GUUCACUUAAAAUUCAAUAGAGAGACAUGUAGAAAUACAUACUAGAUAAUGAAAGGAUCCAAACAGUGAAGAAGCAGUCCCUUUAUAUUUUUGAAUCUUUUUUUCAAGAGUAAAGUGUGUUAUGAUAGUCAUCUCGAUUUGUUUGAAAGGAUGUUUACAAAUGCUAUUAAAAUUAUAAAUCCUACAUUUUACUUGUGAAUUUUUUGGUCUACCUCUCUAGUUGUAAAAUAUAAAAAUUAUCCUAAAAGAUCAUAUUGAUUAACUUCUUGGUGGAAUCACUUAUCUUGUUUUGAUGAUAGGAGCAGUAUAGCAUCAAGUUCUAGAGGAAUUGGGAGCCAUUGCAAAUCUGAGGGUCAGGAGGAAUCUUUGGUCCCACAGAGCUCAGUGCAACCACCAGAAGGAGACAGUGAAACAAAAGCUCCUGAAGAAUCAUCAGAGGAUGUGACAAAAUAUCAGGAAGAAGUAUCUGCAGAAAACCCAGUUGAGAACCAUAUCAAUAUAACACAAUCAGAUAAGUUCACAGCCAAGCCAUUGGAUUCCAACUCAGGAGAAAGAAAUGACCUCAAUCUUGAUCGCUCUUGUGGGGUUCCAGAAGAAUCUGCUUCAUCUGAAAAAGCCAAGGAACCAGAAACUUCAGAUCAGACUAGCACUGAGAGUGCUACCAAUGAAAAUAACACCAAUCCUGAGCCUCAGUUCCAAACAGAAGCCACUGGGCCUUCAGCUCAUGAAGAAACAUCCACCAGGGACUCUGCUCUUCAGGACACAGAUGACAGUGAUGAUGACCCAGUCCUGAUCCCAGGUGCAAGGUAUCGAGCAGGACCUGGUGAUAGACGCUCUGCUGUUGCCCGUAUUCAGGAGUUCUUCAGACGGCGAAAAGAAAGGAAAGAAAUGGAAGAAUUGGAUACUUUGAACAUUAGAAGGCCACUAGUAAAAAUGGUUUAUAAAGGCCAUCGCAACUCCAGGACAAUGAUAAAAGAAGCCAAUUUCUGGGGUGCUAACUUUGUAAUGAGUGGUUCUGACUGUGGCCACAUUUUCAUCUGGGAUCGGCACACUGCUGAGCAUUUGAUGCUUCUGGAAGCUGAUAAUCAUGUGGUAAACUGCCUGCAGCCACAUCCGUUUGACCCAACCUCAUCUGGCAUAGAUUAUGACAUAAAGAUCUGGUCACCAUUAGAAGAGUCAAGGAUUUUUAACCGAAAACUUGCUGAUGAAGUUAUAACUCGAAAUGAACUCAUGCUGGAAGAAACUAGAAACACCAUUACAGUUCCAGCCUCUUUCAUGUUGAGGAUGUUGGCUUCACUUAAUCAUAUCCGAGCUGACCGGUUGGAGGGUGACAGAUCAGAAGGCUCUGGUCAAGAGAAUGAAAAUGAGGAUGAGGAAUAAUAAACUCUUUUUUGGCAAGCACUUAAAUGUUCUGAAAUUUGUAUAAGACAUUUAUUAUAUUUUUUUCUUUACAGAGCUUUAGUGCAAUUUUAAGGUUAUGGUUUUUGGAGUUUUUCCCUUUUUUUGGGAUAACCUAACAUUGGUUUGGAAUGAUUGUGUGCAUGAAUUUGGGAGAUUGUAUAAAACAAAACUAGCAGAAUGUUUUUAAAACUUUUUGCCGUGUAUGAGGAGUGCUAGAAAAUGCAAAGUGCAAUAUUUUCCCUAACCUUCAAAUGUGGGAGCUUGGAUCAAUGUUGAAGAAUAAUUUUCAUCAUAGUGAAAAUGUUGGUUCAAAUAAAUUUCUACACUUGCC
RNAcentral lists this small RNA (1732 nucleotides) under Pan troglodytes (chimpanzee). RNAcentral's name for it is "retained intron". The record is from RNAcentral. Lineage: Eukaryota; Metazoa; Chordata; Mammalia; Primates; Hominidae.